GUGGUAUAAGAUGGGCCCGCGUCUGAUUAGCUAGUUGGUGAGGUAACGGCUCACCAAGGCAACGAUCAGUAGCCGACCUGAGAGGGUGACCGGCCACAUUGGGACUGAGACACGGCCCAAACUCCUACGGGAGGCAGCAGUGGGGAAUAUUGCACAAUGGGGGAAACCCUGAUGCAGCGACGCCGCGUGAGCGAUGAAGUAUUUCGGUAUGUAAAGCUCUAUCAGCAGGGAAGAAAAUGACGGUACCUGACUAAGAAGCCCCGGCUAACUACGUGCCAGCAGCCGCGGUAAUACGUAGGGGGCAAGCGUUAUCCGGAUUUACUGGGUGUAAAGGGAGCGUAGACGGCGAUGCAAGCCAGAUGUGAAAGCCCGGGGCUCAACCCCGGGACUGCAUUUGGAACUGUAUAGCUGGAGUGUCGGAGAGGCAGGCGGAAUUCCUAGUGUAGCGGUGAAAUGCGUAGAUAUUGGGAGGAACACCAGUGGCGAAGGCGGCCUGCUGGACGAUGACUGACGUUGAGGCUCGAAAGCGUGGGGAGCAAACAGGAUUAGAUACCCUGGUAGUCCACGCCGUAAACGAUGACUACUAGGUGUCGGGCAGCAAAGCUGUUCG
RNAcentral lists this ribosomal RNA (610 nucleotides) under uncultured bacterium. Its description in RNAcentral is "bacterial SSU rRNA". It matches the Rfam family "Bacterial small subunit ribosomal RNA", at positions 215 to 842 of the family's 1533-position model. The record is from RNAcentral.